UCAAGGACUUGAGUCCAGGUUUUUAGUUUGAAAACAUGAAGAAGUUUGCACAAUGUCUAUGUCAAGUUUAAGAUCAAAGUGUGAAAAGGUUCUAGGACACAAUGAGGAUGAAUGAGUGAGGAUGGAAAGUAAAGCUUCUCAGGAGGUUCACUUCUUGAGAUCAUAUAGAGGAUGAUUCAAGGGUGUCCUUUGGAAUGGAA
RNAcentral lists this long non-coding RNA (200 nucleotides) under Lathyrus oleraceus (garden pea). Its description in RNAcentral is "Pisum sativum (pea) long non-coding RNA (PSAT_LNC022498)". The record is from RNAcentral. Lineage: Eukaryota; Viridiplantae; Streptophyta; Magnoliopsida; Fabales; Fabaceae.